RNAcentral lists this ribosomal RNA (503 nucleotides) under uncultured bacterium. Its description in RNAcentral is "partial 16S ribosomal RNA". It matches the Rfam family "Bacterial small subunit ribosomal RNA", at positions 30 to 523 of the family's 1533-position model. The record is from RNAcentral.
AUUGAACGCUGGCGGCAGGCUUAACACAUGCAAGUCGAGCGGGGUGAUGGUGCUUGCACUAUCACUUAGCGGCGGACGGGUGAGUAAUGCUUAGGAAUCUGCCUAUUAGUGGGGGACAACAUCUCGAAAGGGAUGCUAAUACCGCAUACGUCCUACGGGAGAAAGCAGGGGAUCACUUGUGACCUUGCGCUAAUAGAUGAGCCUAAGUCGGAUUAGCUAGUUGGUGGGGUAAAGGCCUACCAAGGCGACGAUCUGUAGCGGGUCUGAGAGGAUGCACCGCCGCACUGGGACUGAGACACGUCCCAGACUCCUACGGGAGGCAGCAGUGGGGAAUAUUGGACAAUGGGGGGAACCAUGAUCCAGCCAUGCCGCGUGUGUGAAGAAGGCCUUAUGGUUGUAAAGCACUUUAAGCGAGGAGGAGGCUCUUUUGGUUAAUACCCAAGAUGAGUGGACGUUACUCGCAGAAUAAGCACCGGCUAACUCUGUGCCAGCCGCCGCGGUAA